UACGAAGGGAGCUAGCGUUGUUCGGAAUCACUGGGCGUAAAGCGCACGUAGGCGGAUAUGUCAGUCAGGGGUGAAAUCCCGGAGCUCAACUUCGGAACUGCCUUUGAUACAGCAUAUCUCGAGUCCGAGAGAGGUGAGUGGAAUUCCGAGUGUAGAGGUGAAAUUCGUAGAUAUUCGGAGGAACACCAGUGGCGAAGGCGGCUCACUGGCUCGAUACUGACGCUGAGGUGCGAAAGCGUGGGGAGCAAACAGG
Molecule: ribosomal RNA, 253 nt
Filed under: uncultured bacterium
Lineage: Bacteria
Description: partial 16S ribosomal RNA
Rfam family: Bacterial small subunit ribosomal RNA
Source: RNAcentral